GCAUAUCAAUAAGCGGAGGAAAAGAAACCAACAGGGAUUGCCCUAGUAACGGCGAGUGAAGCGGCAACAGCUCAAAUUUGAAAUCUGGCUCUCGGGCCCGAGUUGUAAUUUGUAGAGGAUACUUUUGAUGCGGUGCCUUCCGAGUUCCCUGGAACGGGACGCCAUAGAGGGUGAGAGCCCCGUCUGGUUGGAUGCCAAAUCUCUGUAAAGUUCCUUCGACGAGUCGAGUAGUUUGGGAAUGCUGCUCUAAAUGGGAGGUAUAUGUCUUCUAAAGCUAAAUACCGGCCAGAGACCGAUAGCGCACAAGUAGAGUGAUCGAAAGAUGAAAAGCACUUUGAAAAGAGAGUUAAAAAGUACGUGAAAUUGUUGAAAGGGAAGCGUUUAUGACCAGACUUGGGCUUGGUUGAUCAUCUGGGGUUCUCCCCAGUGCACUCUUCCAGUCCAGGCCAGCAUCAGUUUUCCCCGGGGGAUAAAGACUUCGGGAAUGUGGCUCUCUUCGGGGAGUGUUAUAGCCCGUUGUGUAAUACCCUGGGGGGGACUGAGGUUCGCGCAUCUGCAAGGAUGCUGGCGUAAUGGUCAUCAACGACCCGUCUUGAAACACGGACCAAGGAGUCGUCUUCGUAUGCGAGUGUUCGGGUGUCAAACCCCUACGCGUAAUGAAAGUGAACGCAGGUGAGAGCUUCGGCGCAUCAUCGACCGAUCCUGAUGUUCUCGGAUGGAUUUGAGUAAGAGCAUACGGGGCCGGACCCGAAAGAAGGUGAACUAUGCCUGUAUAGGGUGAAGCCAGAGGAAACUCUGGUGGAGGCUCGCAGCGGUUCUGACGUGCAAAUCGAUCGUCAAAUAUGGGCAUGGGGGCGAAAGACUAAUCGAACCUUCUAGUAGCUGGUUUCCGCCGA
This 896-nucleotide ribosomal RNA is filed under the name Fusarium proliferatum. RNAcentral describes it as "LSU rRNA". It matches the Rfam family "Eukaryotic large subunit ribosomal RNA", at positions 38 to 964 of the family's 3401-position model. The record is from RNAcentral. Lineage: Eukaryota; Fungi; Ascomycota; Sordariomycetes; Hypocreales; Nectriaceae.